Long non-coding RNA from Fukomys damarensis (Damara mole-rat), 2103 nucleotides. RefSeq lists it as uncharacterized. The record is from RefSeq and is a predicted model, not a curated record. NCBI's taxonomy places the organism in Eukaryota, Metazoa, Chordata, Mammalia, Rodentia, Bathyergidae. The transcript has 3 exons.
UGGACAGCAUGGAUUAUUUUUUUUCAAUUUCUGCAUAAAACUACACUUAGAAAUGUUACUACAUAACUUGAAAUGGAAAUAAAUGUAGAAGAUAUAUUAUACUUCAAAAAAUACAUACUUUGUGUUAUGGUUUGUAUCUAGAUGUCCCUCCAAAGCCUCAUGUGCUCAUAGGUGGUGCUUUUCAGAAAUGACUGGAUCUAGGGAGGGUAAAUGCUGCUCAAAGGUCUGUCACUGGGAUUAAGGGUGCGCAAUACUGGAUUAGUUCACUAACUGGUUUAUCAUAGUUCUGAGGGUGGGUAAUGGAAAGCCCACCAUAGGUGUGGGUGGUAUCACCCAAAAAGUUUGCAGUUUGGAUGGGAUAAAAAGGAAAGGGAGGCUUGCUGCUGCUGCUUGCACUUCAUUUUUUUCCUCCCUACCCUGCCAUGGACAGCUUCUUCUCUGUGAUUCCCCUCUGCAAUGCCACCCAGUCUUGGAACCAACAGACUAUGAACUGAAACCUCUACAAACUUGAACUGAGGUCAACUAGAUUUUUAUCUGAGCUCCAAACUGGGAAGCAGAAAACAGCAAAAAUGAAACAUCACAACUUGAUUGGAUCCUGCUUUUAGCACAAGAUUGUACGACCCACUGCUGCACAGGAUGCUUCCAGAUUAGAAGGCCAAAGAUAAGCAAGGAAAUGUGGCUGGCCCCCGUGUUCACAUUUAUUUCAAGAAGAAUAGGUACAGUUUUGCACACUAGGGACCAAGAAGCGCCCAGGGACACUGCUGGGAAGGGACCACUGGAGGGAAAACCUGCGGGUAAGGCCUCUGUGACUGCUCACCUGGUCUGUGACCAUGGCAACUGAGGUAUGGGUCCCAUGUGUGAUAGAGGGCCAUGUGUUAAAUUUUAAAAAGCAAGGAUGUAUAAUAUGUAAUGACUUACUAUGUGUUUUAUUAUUUCUAAAGAUUGGCAUUCAAGUGUCUUAAGUUCAAAGGUUUUUCCACUUCAAAAUGAAAUGUGAAAAAACUCACUCCGAACACUUAAGAAUAACUCAACAAGAUUAGUUUUGAAUUGUUGAAGUGAAUAAUUCAGAGACUAACAUGAUGAAUGCGGGUUAAAUGCAUGACUUUGAACACUACAGGAUUGAGUGAAUUUUGCCCAAAACUAAAGAAUCCUUGCUAUUUUCAAAAUUCCAUAUGAGUAGAAUUUUUCUAAAUAUUUACUUAUGUAAAAUAAAUACCAGGAAUAACAAUCCCUAACAAUAAAAGAUGGGCCUGCCAAGUUUUUGCCCACCAGACAAUGCAGAGGAGACUUCGCCCAGAAAUGAGUGCCAACCCACAACUUACUGAGUCAGCAACUGAAUAAAUCAGAGACUAGAAACUUCUGUCUGUAGACAUCACAGUAUAUAACUGCAUUACUUAUUUUUACUUCCAAGAAUGGGUGAUGAAUUGCUAGUCAGCUGAAACCUCUUGCCUAUAUUUUACAAGGCUUCUACGUCUCCCAGCUUUUAAAAUGAUAAGGUACUUUGUCUAGAAACCUACUGAUAAAAAAGGAAUUUGUAAAUGAAGACAGAAGUUUUCUUUGGUCAGUUUCCAGCAGGCUUGGAGGUGAAAGAGGGUGGGAGAGGGAGAGGAUGGUGGGAGGGAAGAAACCCUCAAGCUGAAUGAAAUCCUAAACAGAAAAAUAGGAAAGUCUGGGCUGCAGUGUGAUCUGGGUGAUUUGUAUUGAACUUUAGAGCUGGGUCCCUUAAAGAAAGUUCUGGAAUACUGGCACUGCCUAACCUCUAACUCCCUCAACCCCCAUUUAAUUCUACCUUAAAAUAAUUCUGUGAAACGAAAAUGUUUUUCUAUAGGAAAGUGAACAUAAUGUCUUUGUCCUGAGCAAAUAAUUUUCUAUUUUGCAUUUUGUAACAGUUAAAAUUUGACACAGAUUCUGUUUUUCAAAAUAUUUCAUUACAGAAGUUUCCCAAAGUUUCUUCUUUGUCAAAACAACUUAAAAUCUAUCCUGAUCAUUCUGCAACUGGUUGGUGUAAGGAACACCUAAGUUUUCUCAUCUACUCAUGGUUUUUAGUUAAAAUAUAACUAGCAAGGAGAAAUUUAGAUAUUUUUAACUUAGAUGAUAUAGUGA